RNAcentral lists this ribosomal RNA (490 nucleotides) under uncultured bacterium. RNAcentral's name for it is "partial 16S ribosomal RNA". It matches the Rfam family "Bacterial small subunit ribosomal RNA", at positions 30 to 507 of the family's 1533-position model. The record is from RNAcentral.
AUUGAACGCUGGCGGCAUGCUUUACACAUGCAAGUCGGACGGCAGCACAGAGAAGCUUGCUUCUUGGGUGGCGAGUGGCGAACGGGUGAGUAACAUAUCGGAACGUACCGAGCAGUGGGGGAUAACUAAUCGAAAGAUUAGCUAAUACCGCAUAUCUUCUGAGGAAGAAAGCAGGGGACCAUUUGGCCUUGCGCUGUUUGAGCGGCCGAUAUCUGAUUAGCUAGUUGGUGGGGUAAAGGCCUACCAAGGCGACGAUCAGUAGCGGGUCUGAGAGGAUGAUCCGCCACACUGGGACUGAGACACGGCCCAGACUCCUACGGGAGGCAGCCGUGGGGAAUUUUGGGCAAUGGGCGCAAGCCUGAUCCAGCCAUGCCGCGUGUCUGAAGAAGGCCUUCGGGUUGUAAAGGACUUUUGUCAGGGAAGAAAAGGGCGGGGUUAAUACCCCUGUCUGAUGACGGUACCUGAAGAAUAAGCACCGGCUAACUACGUG